AUGGCCAUGGGCAUGGGCAUGGCAGCCUCCCCCUCUUGCUCCUCCCCUCCAUGGCCAGCCUCCUCCUCCGCACGCAGCCGCAGCAGCAGCUGUUCCCUCCUCUACACAGCCACCACCACUCGCCCUUCCGCUUCUCCGAACGCGCGCCGCCUUGGCCGCCCGCGCGCGCUGCCGGAGACGGCGCUGGUGGCGGCCGGGGUGGCGGCGGCGGGGGUCGCCGCCGCCGCCGUGCUCCUGCGGGGCGACCGGAAGACGGAGCGGCCGGCGCCCGGGGAGCAAGGCGAGAAGCAGGCGGCGGCGGUGGAGGAGUGCCCCGCCUGCGGCGGGAGCGGCCUCUGCCCGCGGUGCAAGGGGGAGGGCUUCGUGUUCAAGGAGGUCGGCGAGGAGGCGGCCGGCCGGGCGCGGCGGGCCGCCAAGAACAUGGCCACCCGCUACACCGCCGGCCUCCCCACCAAGUGGACCUACUGCAACCGCUGCUCCUCCACCCGCUCCUGCACCGCCUGCGACGGCUCCGGCGCCGUCCCCGUCCGCGCUAAAACCACCACCACCAAUUAG
RNAcentral lists this ribosomal RNA (555 nucleotides) under Triticum aestivum (bread wheat). RNAcentral's name for it is "partial small subunit ribosomal RNA". The record is from RNAcentral. Lineage: Eukaryota; Viridiplantae; Streptophyta; Magnoliopsida; Poales; Poaceae.